GGACGAACGCUGGCGGCGUGCCUAAUACAUGCAAGUAGAACGCUGAAGAGAGGAGCUUGCUCUUCUUGGAUGAGUUGCGAACGGGUGAGUAACGCGUAGGUAACCUGCCUUGUAGCGGGGGAUAACUAUUGGAAACGAUAGCUAAUACCGCAUAACAAUGGAUGACACAUGUCAUUUAUUUGAAAGGGGCAAUUGCUCCACUACAAGAUGGACCUGCGUUGUAUUAGCUAGUAGAUGAGGUAAUGGCUCACCUAGGCGACGAUACAUAGCCGACCUGAGAGGGUGAUCGGCCACACUGGGACUGAGACACGGCCCAGACUCCUACGGGAGGCAGCAGUAGGGAAUCUUCGGCAAUGGGGGCAACCCUGACCGAGCAACGCCGCGUGAGUGAAGAAGGUUUUCGGAUCGUAAAGCUCUGUUGUAAGUCAAGAACGGGUGUGAGAGUGGAAAGUUCACACUGUGACGGUAGCUUACCAGAAAGGGACGGCUAACUACGUGCCAGCAGCCGCGGUAAUACGUAGGUCCCGAGCGUUGUCCGGAUUUAUUGGGCGUAAAGCGAGCGCAGGCGGUUUGAUAAGUCUGAAGUUAAAGGCUGUGGCUCAACCAUAGUUCGCUUUGGAAACUGUCAAACUUGAGUGCAGAAGGGGAGAGUGGAAUUCCAUGUGUAGCGGUGAAAUGCGUAGAUAUAUGGAGGAACACCGGUGGCGAAAGCGGCUCUCUGGUCUGUAACUGACGCUGAGGCUCGAAAGCGUGGGGAGCGAACAGGAUUAGAUACCCUGGUAGUCCACGCCGUAAACGAUGAGUGCUAGGUGUUGGAUCCUUUCCGGGAUUCAGUGCCGCAGCUAACGCAUUAAGCACUCCGCCUGGGGAGUACGACCGCAAGGUUGAAACUCAAAGGAAUUGACGGGGGCCCGCACAAGCGGUGGAGCAUGUGGUUUAAUUCGAAGCAACGCGAAGAACCUUACCAGGUCUUGACAUCCCGAUGCUAUUUCUAGAGAUAGAAAGUUACUUCGGUACAUCGGUGACAGGUGGUGCAUGGUUGUCGUCAGCUCGUGUCGUGAGAUGUUGGGUUAAGUCCCGCAACGAGCGCAACCCCUAUUGUUAGUUGCCAUCAUUCAGUUGGGCACUCUAGCGAGACUGCCGGUAAUAAACCGGAGGAAGGUGGGGAUGACGUCAAAUCAUCAUGCCCCUUAUGACCUGGGCUACACACGUGCUACAAUGGUUGGUACAACGAGUUGCGAGUCGGUGACGGCGAGCUAAUCUCUUAAAGCCAAUCUCAGUUCGGAUUGUAGGCUGCAACUCGCCUACAUGAAGUCGGAAUCGCUAGUAAUCGCGGAUCAGCACGCCGCGGUGAAUACGUUCCCGGGCCUUGUACACACCGCCCGUCACACCACGAGAGUUUGUAACACCCGAAGUCGGUGAGGUAACCUUUUGGAGCCAGCCGCCUAAGGUGGG
RNAcentral lists this ribosomal RNA (1455 nucleotides) under uncultured organism. Its description in RNAcentral is "16S ribosomal RNA". It matches the Rfam family "Bacterial small subunit ribosomal RNA". The record is from RNAcentral.